Molecule: ribosomal RNA, 812 nt
Filed under: uncultured Bacillus sp.
Lineage: Bacteria; Bacillati; Bacillota; Bacilli; Caryophanales; Bacillaceae
Description: bacterial SSU rRNA
Rfam family: Bacterial small subunit ribosomal RNA
Source: RNAcentral
CAAGUCGAGCGGACGUUUUAUUGGUGCUUGCACCGAUUUAACGUUAGCGGCGGACGGGUGAGUAACACGUGGGCAACCUGCCCUGUAGAUUGGGAUAACUCCGGGAAACCGGGGCUAAUACCGAAUAAUACUUUUUAACUCAUGUUAGAAAGUUGAAAGAUGGUUCUGCUAUCGCUACAGGAUGGGCCCGCGGCGCAUUAGCUAGUUGGUGAGGUAACGGCUCACCAAGGCGACGAUGCGUAGCCGACCUGAGAGGGUGAUCGGCCACACUGGGACUGAGACACGGCCCAGACUCCUACGGGAGGCAGCAGUAGGGAAUCUUCCACAAUGGGCGAAAGCCUGAUGGAGCAACGCCGCGUGAGUGAAGAAGGAUUUCGGUUCGUAAAACUCUGUUGUAAGGGAAGAACAAGUACAGUAGUAACUGGCUGUACCUUGACGGUACCUUAUUAGAAAGCCACGGCUAACUACGUGCCAGCAGCCGCGGUAAUACGUAGGUGGCAAGCGUUGUCCGGAAUUAUUGGGCGUAAAGCGCGCGCAGGCGGUCCUUUAAGUCUGAUGUGAAAGCCCACGGCUCAACCGUGGAGGGUCAUUGGAAACUGGGGGACUUGAGUGCAGAAGAGGAAAGUGGAAAUUCCAAGUGUAGCGGUGAAAUGCGUAGAGAUUUGGAGGAACACCAGUGGCGAAGGCGACUUUCUGGUCUGUUAACUGACGCUGAGGCGCGAAAGCGUGGGGAGCAAACAGGAUUAGAUACCCCUGGUAGUCCCACGCCGUAAACGAUGAGUGCUAAUUGUUAGGGGGGUUUCCGCCCCCUU